AAUAAUCUUUGUAAACGAUCAAGAAUCAAAACAACAAUUGAAGACUAAGCAUUAGCACACAGCAUCUCUUUAUAAUGUUGUUUCAUUCCAGGAGGAACUCAAGACUGCAUUGGAGCGCUUACAGGAGAAACUGAAGGUCUUUGGAGAAGUUAAACUGGCCUGUGAUCAAACAGCCAACCACAUCAAGAGCCAGGCCCAGCACACAGAGAGGCUGAUUAAGAUGGGGUAUAAGAAGCUUCAUCAGUUUCUAUAUGCGGAAGAGAGAGCCAGGAUAGAUGCACUGAAGGAGGAAGAGGAGCAGAAGUCAGAUGAUGAAGAAGAAGAUUGAGGAGUUGAGCAGAGAGAUAUCAUCACUUCCAGACACAAUCAGAACCAUAGAGGAAGAGCUGGGAGCUGAGGACAUCUCAUUCCUGCAGAACUACAAGGAUACAGUGAAAAGCUCCAGUGACUGUUCAUCUCCAGCUUUAACUCAGGAACACACAGCUGGGACAUUGAUGUUGGGGAGAAUACAUUCUGGGACCUGGGUGUGAUCACAGAGAUUGUCCAGAGGAAGGGAGAAAGUGGUUUAUGGAUGGAUCCUGGGAUGUGUGGUUUUGUGAUGGGUAUUAUAAAACACAUGUUCCAAAUAAGCAAUCCACUUUACUCACAGAGAGACGGAACCCCCAGAGGAUCAGAGUGCAGCUAGACUGGGAAGGAGGAAAGCUGUCAUUCUCUGACCCUGUCAAUAACACACAUCUACACACAUUCACACACACUUUCACUGAGAUAGUCUUUCUAUUAUUCUGGAAUCCCCAUACUCUCCACCUCCCUCUGGGGGUGUUACCAGGUAAGGUGACUGUAUCAGUGGAUACUGUCUCUGUCUGAAUCAGGGACUAACAUGAUGUAAAUGAGUCAGCAACACUCACUGAUGUCCUUCAUUAAGAUUGUUAGAAAGAGAUGAUAGAGUAGCAGGCCUUCUCCUGCUGUAACACCUGUCACACAAUCAUCAUUUAAUACUGUAUUAUAAGAAUCCCUAUCAAUACUUUCUGUAACA
Long non-coding RNA from Coregonus clupeaformis (lake whitefish), 1033 nucleotides. RefSeq lists it as uncharacterized. The transcript is spliced from 4 exons. NCBI's taxonomy places the organism in Eukaryota, Metazoa, Chordata, Actinopteri, Salmoniformes, Salmonidae. The record is from RefSeq and is a predicted model, not a curated record.